GGUGCCGCACACCUCUGCUCGUAUUUGGAGUACUGUUCUCAAGAUGUAUUCAAAGUUGUCUAACACCAAGAUUAUGAGCUUGCACGGAAGACUCGGAUCUCUCAAGAAAGGUGAGUUGUUUGUGCGUGAAUUCUCUACGUAAAUUAAAGAAAUAUGUGACUUGCUUGCAACAAGUGGUAGCCCUGUCACAGAAAUCGAUCAGAUUGUAACCUUGUUAAACGGUCUUCCGUGUGAUUUUGAGCCUUUUGUUGCUGCUAUAACGGUUAGUCGAGAACCUGAUACUUUUGAUAGGGUGACCUCGGUGCUUAUUGAUGCUGAAUCAUGUAUUAGUGAUCUUUUAAGGACGACAGCUAAUAUUAAUAUGACGAGGCACUAUGGAAAUUCUAGAGGUGGUAGUGACCGAUAUCAGAAUUACAAUCGGUCAAAUGAAUUUCAAGCCAAAAAUCAUAAUGGUAAUCAGAAUAAAGGUAGACCGCGACACCAAUGUCAGCUGUGUGGGAAGUUAAGGCACUUGGUAGAUCGUUGUUGGCAUCGAUUCAAUCAAAAUUACAAGGGGGUUUCUUCUCGACAGACCAAGAAUAACAAUGAAAUACAUGCUAAUGCUUGUAAAUAUGCUUCUAAUUUAGUUGUGUCAUGCGAUAAUCCUUUUGUGAGCUCUCCUGCAGGUCUCAAUGUUGUUGAUGAAGACACUACGAUUGAUACAGCUCAAGUAAAUUCGCUCAUAGCUAAAGGUUUUUUGUCUGUAGCAGAUAAAUGGUAUCCCGACUCUGGUGUGACACACCAUGUCACGUAUUAGAAGGGUGGUGGUGCAUCUAGUCGACCUUAUUCAGGCUACUUACUAAGGUAACUGAGGGAGUAUCCUCAUUUCAAAAGGUGUAUGGUAAGGUUUCGGACUAUCAAUUUCUUCGUGUUUUUGGGUGUUAGUGCUUUCCCUGCUUACGACCCUACGUCACAAGUUUGAGUUUCGAUUUAAACCUUGCAUUUUCCAUGGAUACUCUCAAAAAAAUCACGGGUAUCAAUGUCUUGAUAGCACGGGUCGUGUCUAUAUCUCUCGGGCAUGUUACGUUUGAUGAAAACAUUUUUCCUUGUUCUUUAGUUCAUACAGGGACCAAAAAGUCGGGUGAGCAAAAGACUUGGGCUAUACCUUUUCCUGUUGAAGCUAGCAAUUCAAAUCAGCAAUAUGGUGAGUGUGAUAUGCUUAAUGAUGAUGGUCUCCACAAGUUGCAUCAUGGUUCUGGUCAAGAUUUUAGCAGUGGUGCAAUUAGUGUUGCAUCUGAUGGUGAUGGAAGAUGUGUCACGAUGGAAACUUGGACAGAAUCUACUAGUAUAAACAUUGAGCAGUAAACAGCAAGACAGGGGGAACAGGUGGCUUCGGGUACUGGGUAGCGUAAAGAUGUGCAAAGUAGUCCUCUAGUGCCCUAUACGAAUCAACAACAAAGUGCUCAAAAUGAUGAGAUGAUCACUGGGGAACCCAACAUUCAAUCCAAUGUUGUGCCUAUUGAAGGGACAAUUGUUGUAAAAUAUUAGGCCAACAAUACUCACUGCAUGCUCAUACGUAGUAAGGCAGGGAUUUUCAAAUCUAAAAUCUACAAUACCUUGUUUCAUGAAACUCCUAUCACUAUGCAGGAUGCUUUAGAGCAUAAGCAUUGGUGAGUUGCUGUGGAGUCUGAGAUGAUGUUACUUGAUAAUAACACAAGGAAAUUGGUGACGUUACCCUUCGAUCAGAAGGCUAUCAGUUGCAAAUGGCUGUUUCAGAUCAAAUAUAAGUCUAAUGGUUCUGUUGAUCGAUUUAAAGCGAGACUUGUGGCAAAAGGUUUUUCUCAAGUUCCAGGGUUCCAGGGUUAGGCAAGUUGAAGUGAACAACGGUUUUCUCAAAAGAGACUUGCAGGAAGAAGUCUAUAUGAAACAAUCGGAAGGGUUUGAACAUGUUGAUCCUAAUGGUGAACAACUUGUGUGUAAGCUUCAAAAGCGUUGUAUGGUCUUCGACAAGCUCCAUGAAGUUGGUUCAAUAAACUACAUGUUUUCUUAUGUACCUUGGGGUUUUUCUCUUAGCAUGCUAAUAGUU
Hibiscus syriacus is the source of this 2065-nucleotide long non-coding RNA. RefSeq lists it as uncharacterized. Lineage: Eukaryota; Viridiplantae; Streptophyta; Magnoliopsida; Malvales; Malvaceae. The record is from RefSeq and is a predicted model, not a curated record. The transcript is spliced from 3 exons.